Molecule: ribosomal RNA, 499 nt
Filed under: uncultured Glomus
Lineage: Eukaryota; Fungi; Glomeromycota; Glomeromycetes; Glomerales; Glomeraceae
Description: SSU rRNA
Rfam family: Eukaryotic small subunit ribosomal RNA
Source: RNAcentral
CAAGUCUGGUGCCAGCAGCCGCGGUAAUUCCAGCUCCAAUAGCGUAUAUUAAAGUUGCUGCAGUUAAAAAGCUCGUAGUUGAAUUUCGGGACUAAUAUGUCGGUCGUGCCUCGGUACGUACUGGUAUUUUUGGUUUCUCCCUUCUGACGAACCUUGAUGUCAUUAAUUUGGUGUCUUGGGAAAUCAGGACUGUUACUUUGAAAAAAUUAGAGUGUUUAAAGCAGGCUCACGCUUGAAUACAUUAGCAUGGAAUAAUGAAAUAGGACGUUUGAUUCUAUUUUGUUGGUUUCUAGGAUCGACGUAAUGAUUAAUAGGGAUAGUUGGGGGCAUUAGUAUUCAAUUGUCAGAGGUGAAAUUCUUGGAUUUAUUGAAGACUAACUACUGCGAAAGCAUUUGCCAAGGAUGUUUUCAUUAAUCAAGAACGAAAGUUAGGGGAUCGAAGACGAUCAGAUACCGUCGUAGUCUUAACCAUAAACUAUGCCGACUAGGGAUCGGAUGA